Molecule: ribosomal RNA, 253 nt
Filed under: uncultured bacterium
Lineage: Bacteria
Description: partial 16S ribosomal RNA
Rfam family: Bacterial small subunit ribosomal RNA
Source: RNAcentral
GACGUAGGGCGCGAGCGUUGUCCGGAUUUAUUGGGCGUAAAGAGCUCGUAGGCGGCUUGUUGCGUCGACUGUGAAAACCCGGGGCUCAACUUCGGGCUUGCGGUCGAUACGGGCGGGCUAGAGUUCGGUAGGGGAGAGUGGAAUUCCUGGUGUAGCGGUGAAAUGCGCAGAUAUCAGGAGGAACACCGGUGGCGAAGGCGGGUCUCUGGGCCGAUACUGACGCUGAGGAGCGAAAGCGUGGGGAGCGAACAGG